Phasianus colchicus (ring-necked pheasant) is the source of this 1922-nucleotide non-coding RNA. NCBI's taxonomy places the organism in Eukaryota, Metazoa, Chordata, Aves, Galliformes, Phasianidae. The record is from RefSeq and is a predicted model, not a curated record.
GGGCACCCGUGGCCACAGCUGUGCCGGCCCCGCUCGCCUGCUGAGCACGGCUUGGGUGAGCGGGACGGUGUGGGAAGCGUGUGCAGGCAGACCCAAAGGUGUGCCGCGGGCAGUCUGGCUGCCUUCUGCAAAGCGGAGUCGAUUGUAGCAGCCUGAGCUCUGCGACAGCUGUGUCUGCGGUGGGGUGGCUGCCAUGCAGCACGACUUCUCACUGGAGGCAAACCCACGUGCCUAGGCCUUGUGUGUCAGGAUCUGUGGGCUUCACACCAGUGCCUGUGACCACAUGGGUUCUGCACUUGUGCGGUGCUCAGCCACGUGGUCCCAAAAGGGGUGUGAUCACUCACCUGAAAUCUGCUUCCCCUCCAGGUAUUGCUGAGCUGACUUUCUGCACAGCAGUCUUGGGGGAAGAGCACGAGUUCGUAGCCUUUAAUGAAACAGUUUGCGCUGAAAUGAAAUAGGAGUCAUUAGUCACUCACAAAAAAAUAAAUAAAUGAUUGCAAGCAUUUUUCCAGGUCAGCCACGUGGCUGUGCAAAAACUGGUGGCAAUUUUCUCUGUCAAAUACAUAGUUUAUUUUAGAAGACUUUGUGUUUGACAUCUGAGCAUUUGACAACGCUGUAAAAUGUAAGAUAGAAAUAUUGGUCUCAGUUAUGCAGUUCUUAAAUGGGGGCUGUGGAAACCUGAAUCAUAAAAAAGAUGCCAUAGCUACAGCAGACCUUAGUAUCUGUACAGAAAUGAGAUGUGGAAACAGCAAUAAGCAAAAGCAAGCUGACUGCAAGGAUCAGCCUAGGAUCAAAACGCUGCUGUGGAAGUUGAUAGAAGUCAGAACUGCAGCAUCCUGUAGACAAUGAAAGGAACAACUUUUUGGUGUAUUUAAAAAAAAGAAGAAAAGGACACAGAUGAAAUCGCAGCUGUUUUUAAAUAAUGGUCUUGGCAAAUCUUGCAAGCAGGAAAAACAUAGUAUGAAACUGAACACCUGGUUGCAGAAAUGCUCAGGACACAGACACUGCUUAAGAGAAGCAAGAAAGAAGCUUAGAAGAUCUCCUUCUGGAAAUGAAACACAAAAAGUUUAACAAAUUGUGGAAUAACUAAAUGAAAGCUCCAGAUCCAUAUACCUUACUACAGAGAGAAAAAACAUCCCAAUACCUUUGCAGUGUCAGUGGGAUAAAUGGAAAUUCUGGGAUGCCAAAUGCCCUCCAAUUUCUUCAUUGUCAAUUUAAUUUGAGAAAAAUGUGAUGCCAUUAACUUAUGAAAUAUUUUACAAGCUCUUACUGUAGGAGACAAUCAAGCACUCCACAUCACUCUUUAACAUCACAGGCAUGUAAAAAGGAGGGGAAAACAGUUGGGCAUUUUUUUUUAUGUGGAACAGAUUACAGGCUACCAGGUAGGCAGAUAGCUUGUGCGUCUGAAAUAAAUUCCCUGUAACACAUCUUCCCUUCUGACUUCUUCUAGUGCAUUCUUCAAGCGUAGGAGCUACACAAAACAAUCAAGCUCUUUUGCUCUUUUCACCUCCCCAGGAGGACGUUGGCAAACAUCAAAGGCUAAGCACUGGAAUGCCGAGGGUGACAGCGGUGUGAAUUUUCUUCUGCUCCUUCAAUCCCUCUCUCAGCUAUGGACUUCAGGACUGAGGAUGUCUCAAUUUUACAUCCUGCUGCAAAAUGAGACUGCUGGUAUGGAUCCCUAGGGUCAUACGGGACCAGGCUGCUUAGGUGGAGGGGACGCGUCCCACACAACUUGACUCGGCUACAGCAUUCAGAACGUUACCGACAAGGAGAGCACAGUUACAGGCACACGUUUGUAAGUCUGCAAACUGCAGUACUGCUGCUGUGUUUAUAAGGAUGCUACUGCCAGAGGCCUUCAAGGAUCAUACUUUUGCUUUCCGGUUUUUUUUUGUUUUUUUUUUUUUUUUUUAAAGAUUUCUCCU